GCAAGGAUAACGCCCUAGAGUGCAGAGAAUGUUGAUGAUCCAGUGCUGGCUGGCCAGGGGAGGCAGGCAGCACAUCCAAGGCUUGUCCAGUGGCUGUCAAAUCGCAGACACCUUUCCCUGCAACAUUAAAAUCCCUUCCUGUUCAAUUUUGAACCGCCUCCGGCCUCCGCGGUUUCGCCCCAAGCCUUCUUGGACCAGUUAGCUUGGAGACAAAUGGCUUUUACCUGGCAUCUUAGACCAUCGACUUGGGCCCUGUAGACUAAUUUUCUAGCAUAUAUCCUGAGAAAAUUUGGCUGUGAUACAUGAAAUCAAAGAAUUUUAAAACUGAAAAGAAGCUUAUUGUUUAUCUUAAACAAAACCCUGCUAUUGCAUUAAGAAGCUAUGAUCCAAAGAUAAAGUGGUAGGGUAGAUAUUUUUUACCCUACACAGAAACACUUACAGGUCUAAGCAAAUACAGGAUAUGAAAUAUUUGUGAAGAAAGAAAGCAAUGGAGAAACAGACAGAAUGCAGCUGGAUUCCUUGCCUGAGUAUAACAUGAAUGUCUUCUACCCUUGCUUCCAAAAGAGUUCCUGUCCUCCUCUGAUGCCUCAGAAGUCAGACCUCCACGGCCCACAUCUUUCUUCCUGUGUUCUUCUUAACUCCCACCAGAAUGGCUCAUGAAGCUCUUCUCACCUCAUCAACUCUAACCCAAAGUUCCAAACUCUUACACAUUUGUCCCACAAAUUCACUUCAAAGGCCUAAGAACCACGUGGUCAGAUUAUGACAGCCACAACCCCAUUCCUGACCUCAAUUUUCUGUAUUAGUUGACUUGUUAUGACAAAAAUACCCUAACAAAGGCAGCUUUUAAAAGGGAAGCAUUUAUUUUGCUCACAGUUCCAGAGUACCAUCUAUUAUGGCUUGGAAAUCAUAGCAACGGGAGCUUGAAGCACCUAUUCCUGUUGCAUCCACCGUCAGGAAGAAACAAGAGACAAAAGCCAGACAUUCUUUCUCCUUUUUAAUUGAGCUGGGUGUGAAGCUGGUCUACCUACUACAGUUAACUGAGUCUAGAAAAUCCAUCACAGAAAAGCCAGAGAUUUGACUCCAAGGUAGCUCUAAAUCUCAACAAAUUAACAAGAUUAACAUCAACUUGGGAAUUUCUUUUAAAUUGUAUUCAUAAGAAUAGAACUAUAACAACUGGACUAGAUUAUGAAAACACCCUGUUUUACAUAAGUACAGUGUUUAGCACUAAAUAUGCUAAUGAGGAUACACUAUAGAUUUUGAGCCCACAAAGUGAGGAUACUUAGGGUAUAGCAUGAAAUGCUAUACUGAGUGUAGAGGAUUAUGAAUCAUGUGGGAAAGAACUUAAGCUCUAAAUUAAAUUAGGAAAAAUUCAUUGAGUCUGCAUACUUAGGAAUAUCACAGACUGAACAUCUAAUUUUUGUUUCUCCUAGCAUAUUAUAGGCAAUAUGAUAAAUAAACCAUGGGUUGAUGAUGG
Molecule: long non-coding RNA, 1474 nt
Filed under: Cricetulus griseus (Chinese hamster)
Lineage: Eukaryota; Metazoa; Chordata; Mammalia; Rodentia; Cricetidae
Description: lncRNA (ENSCGRG00015041350.1)
Source: RNAcentral